GAUGAACGCUGGCGGCGUGCCUAAUACAUGCAAGUCGAGCGAACAGACGAGGAGCUUGCUCCUCUGACGUUAGCGGCGGACGGGUGAGUAACACGUGGAUAACCUACCUAUAAGACUGGGAUAACUUCGGGAAACCGGAGCUAAUACCGGAUAAUAUAUUGAACCGCAUGGUUCAAUAGUGAAAGACGGUUUUGCUGUCACUUAUAGAUGGAUCCGCGCCGCAUUAGCUAGUUGGUAAGGUAACGGCUUACCAAGGCGACGAUGCGUAGCCGACCUGAGAGGGUGAUCGGCCACACUGGAACUGAGACACGGUACAGACUCCGACGGGAGGCAGCAGUAGGGAAUCUUCCGCAAGGGGCGAAAGCCUGACGGAGCAACGCCGCGUGAGUGAUGAAGGUCUUCGGAUCGUAAAACUCUGUUAUUAGGGAAGAACAAAUGUGUAAGUAACUAUGCACGUCUUGACGGUACCUAAUCAGAAAGCCACGGCUAACUACGUG
Molecule: ribosomal RNA, 497 nt
Filed under: uncultured bacterium
Lineage: Bacteria
Description: partial 16S ribosomal RNA
Rfam family: Bacterial small subunit ribosomal RNA
Source: RNAcentral